This 1024-nucleotide long non-coding RNA is filed under the name Sus scrofa (pig). RNAcentral's name for it is "lncRNA (ENSSSCG00000059231.1)". Lineage: Eukaryota; Metazoa; Chordata; Mammalia; Artiodactyla; Suidae. The record is from RNAcentral.
GGAGCCGGGGGACUGGAAGGGUCUGGGCGAAGGGGGUCACGGCCUGGGGGACGCAGCGGGCAGUCCUCGGAGUCCAGGACUGCCAGCACCUGCUGAGCGCGGCUUGAAGACCCCUGACGGUACGGCGUUGCGGCGCCAAGGGCUGCGUCCCGCUCUCGGGUUCCCGCCGGAGAGGGUGGGAACCCCCUUCCAAGCCCCCCACCCCUUGUUUCUCUCCUCCUCUGUUUAGCCCAGAACCGAGCUGAGGACGAGAGGGAACCAUCUGCAAAAAAAGAACCCCAAAGCAGGGCGGGUGGGGGGGGCAGAUCCAGACCAGCGGAGACCCCAGCAAGCUGGUUCACUGUGGACCAACUCUGCGCCUGUGCGGGCAUCCCCAGUGCUUCUAGAAUGGGGGCGCCCAAGGAAGAAGGCAGGCUGUGAGAAUCUGGGUACCACCAAGGCGGUCUCAAGGAGAAGCGCGGGGGCUGGGGAACGGGAGGAUUAAAGCCAGCAUCCACUCUGGGAAAGGAGCGGGCACCGAAGAAGGAGGGAAAAAAAAAAAUCUCCUUGACGCUGUCACCUCCAGGGACCUAAGGUGGCCUCUUGCUCACCUUGGAGAAUAACAAUCUCUGAUGUCUGGCAAUAACAGAAAUGCUUCCAGAGGUCUUCUUUCGUCCAUCCUGACAAUGACCAGGGAAGAUUUCUCACCCACUCUGACAGCCUCCGAGCAAGGUCCCUGCUGGGCAACACUGAUGAAGUCCGUGCCGCGCUGGACCUGAUGGGGAUAAAAUGAUGGUUCUCUUCAAAAACUCUCGUUCAGGGAGUCCCCAUCGUGGCGCAGCGGAAACGAAUCCGACUAGGAACCAUGAGGUUGUGGGUUCGAUCCCUGGCCUCGCUCAGUGGGUUAAGGUCCAGCGUUGCCGUGAGCUGUGGGGAGCUCAGAUCUGGCGUGGCUGUGGCAGUGGCUGUGGCUGUGGUGCAGGCUGGCAGGUGCAAAUCCAAUUCAACCCUUGGCCUGGGAACUUCAAUAUGCCGUGGGUGCAGC